This 326-nucleotide unclassified non-coding RNA is filed under the name Basidiomycota sp. Its description in RNAcentral is "partial contains small subunit ribosomal RNA, internal transcribed spacer 1, and 5.8S ribosomal RNA". The stretch from base 1 to 47 matches the Rfam family "Eukaryotic small subunit ribosomal RNA", at positions 1785 to 1831 of the family's 1831-position model. Lineage: Eukaryota; Fungi; Basidiomycota. The record is from RNAcentral.
AAAGUCGUAACAAGGUUUCCGUAGGUGAACCUGCGGAAGGAUCAUUAUUGAAUAAAUCUGGCAUUGGUUGUAGCUGGCUCCCCGGAGCAUGUGCACACCUCUGUCACCUUUAUCUUUCCACCUGUGCACACACUGUAGUCCUGGAUACCUCUCGCUGAAAGGCGGAUGCGGAGCCUGCUGCUGCUUUCUUGAAAGCUCAGCUUGCUCUGAAUUUCCAGGUCUAUGAUUUUUUCAUACACCCCAAACGAAUGUUAUAGAAUGUCAUAUCAUUGGGCCUUGUGCCUAUAAACCUUAUACAACUUUCAACAACGGAUCUCUUGGCUCUC